Long non-coding RNA from Myotis davidii, 391 nucleotides. RefSeq lists it as uncharacterized. The record is from RefSeq and is a predicted model, not a curated record. The transcript is spliced from 2 exons. NCBI's taxonomy places the organism in Eukaryota, Metazoa, Chordata, Mammalia, Chiroptera, Vespertilionidae.
ACAGAAGUCAAACCAGAACUGGAACCAUCGCUCUGGUCAGGCUACCACUCUCACUGAUAAACAAGCGUGGUCCACGCCUCUGCAGGGGGCGCUCCCCUCCCGGUGGAGGUCAGAAAUGGAAAGGAAGACUCUCCAUUACCCCUUGUGAGCAGAAGACAUGCAGAUGGGAAAUACACAGAGGAGAAGGACAUGAAAACAGAGGCAGAUUGGAGUGAAGGGGCCACAAGCCAAAGAAUGCCUGCAACCACCAGAAACUGGUAGAAGCAAGAAUUUCCCUCCUGGAGCCUCCAGAGGGAAUGCUGCCCCACUGACACCUGGUUUUAGCCCAGUGAUGUUGGUUUUGGAUCUCUGCCCUCCACAACUCUAAGAAAAUAAAUUUAUGUUGUCUUAA